This 497-nucleotide ribosomal RNA is filed under the name uncultured bacterium. RNAcentral describes it as "partial 16S ribosomal RNA". It matches the Rfam family "Bacterial small subunit ribosomal RNA", at positions 28 to 507 of the family's 1533-position model. The record is from RNAcentral.
GAUGAACGCUGGCGGCGUGCCUAAUACAUGCAAGUCGAGCGAAAAGACGCGGCGCUUGCUCCUCUGACGUUUGCGGCGGACGGGUGAGAAACGCGUGUAUAACCUACCUAUCAGACUGGUAUAACUUCGAGAAACCGGAGCUAAUACCGUAUAAUAUAUUGAACCGCGGUGUGCGAUGGUAAAUGUCGGCUGUGGUGGCAGUUAUAGCUGGAUCCGGGCCGCAUUAGCUAGUUGGUACGUUAACGGCUUACCAAGGCAACCAUGCGUAGACGACGUGCGAGAGUGAUCGGCCACACGAGAGCUGAGACACGGUCAAGACUACUAAGAGAGGCAGCAGUAGGGUAUGUGCGGCAAUGGUCGAAAGCAUGACGGAGCAAGCGCGAGUGAGAGGUAGAGGUGUUGGGAUCGUGAAGCUCUGUUAUUAGUUAAGAACAAAUGUGUAAGUAACUAUGCACGGCUUGACGGUACCUAGUCAGAAAGCCACGGCUAACUACGUG